GAGGGUAUAGCUCAGUGGUAGAGCUCAUGCUUAGCAUGGACAAGGUCCUGGGUUCAAUCCCCAGUACCUCCA
Molecule: transfer RNA, 72 nt
Organism: Camelus ferus (Wild Bactrian camel)
Lineage: Eukaryota; Metazoa; Chordata; Mammalia; Artiodactyla; Camelidae
Rfam family: tRNA
About the family: Transfer RNA (tRNA) molecules are approximately 80 nucleotides in length. Their secondary structure includes four short double-helical elements and three loops (D, anti-codon, and T loops).
Source: Rfam